RNAcentral lists this ribosomal RNA (253 nucleotides) under uncultured bacterium. Its description in RNAcentral is "partial 16S ribosomal RNA". It matches the Rfam family "Bacterial small subunit ribosomal RNA", at positions 524 to 776 of the family's 1533-position model. The record is from RNAcentral.
UACGUAGGGUGCAAGCGUUGUCCGGAAUUAUUGGGCGUAAAGAGCUCGUAGGCGGUUUGUUGCGUCGGCUGUGAAAUCCCGAGGCUCAACCUCGGGUCUGCAGUCGAUACGAGCAAACUAGAGUGUUGCAGGGGAGACUGGAAUUCCUGGUGUAGCGGUGAAAUGCGCAGAUAUCAGGAGGAACACCGGUGGCGAAGGCGGGUCUCUGGGCCGACAUUGACGCUGAGGAGCGAAAGCGUGGGGAGCGAACAGG